AGAGAUAGAAAGUUACUUCGGUACAUCGGUGACAGGUGGUGCAUGGUUGUCGUCAGCUCGUGUCGUGAGAUGUUGGGUUAAGUCCCGCAACGAGCGCAACCCCUAUUGUUAGUUGCCAUCAUUCAGUUGGGCACUCUAGCGAGACUGCCGGUAAUAAACCGGAGGAAGGUGGGGAUAACGUCAAAUCAUCAUGCCCCUUAUGACCUGGGCUACACACGUGCUACAAUGGUUGGUACAACGAGUUGCGAGUCGGUGACGGCGAGCUAAUCUCUUAAAGCCAAUCUCAGUUCGGAUUGUAGGCUGCAACUCGCCUACAUGAAGUCGGAAUCGCUAGUAAUCGCGGAUCAGCACGCCGCGGUGAAUACGUUCCCGGGCCUU
RNAcentral lists this ribosomal RNA (378 nucleotides) under uncultured Streptococcus sp. RNAcentral's name for it is "bacterial SSU rRNA". It matches the Rfam family "Bacterial small subunit ribosomal RNA", at positions 1002 to 1382 of the family's 1533-position model. The record is from RNAcentral. Lineage: Bacteria; Bacillati; Bacillota; Bacilli; Lactobacillales; Streptococcaceae.